GCCGCGGCCUAGUCCCGGCAGACGGGACUGACGAGGUCACCAAGCCCAGGCCGAGACGGCGCGGGUGUCAGGGACUUGGGAAUCCCCCUCCCCCAGUCCCGAUCCCGCUUUCCUUUGGGGUUUCACCUCAGAGGACCCGACAUCACUCUUGCAGUUUCCUCAUCAAGAUGGACUGCACCUUCUGGCAUCUCAAGUGGUUCUUGUGAAGAUUAAAUGAAUCCAUCAGGCCGGGCGCGGUGGCUCACACCUGUAAUCCCAGCACUUUGGGAGGCCGAGACGAGCACAUCACCUGAGGUCAGGAGUUCCAGACCAGCCUGGCCAACAUGACCUCCCCACAGAGUUGAUGCUCUGGAAAGAAAAGCCAGGCUUUUCUCUGAGGUUUUGCAUCUCCUUGGCCAAUGUGCUCAUGCCAGAGAAGAGCAGUGCAUGGCCAGUUUGAGGAGCACGGCCAUGUGACCUUGGACAGCCCCUGCCUCUCUCUAGGACUCACUCCCGGCUGCUAACCUCAGCUCUCUGAUCUGUACCACAAGGAGCUGCCACUAACACCUGUGUCAGAACUACUGUAAGGACCCUUUCCU
Molecule: non-coding RNA, 578 nt
Filed under: Pan troglodytes (chimpanzee)
Lineage: Eukaryota; Metazoa; Chordata; Mammalia; Primates; Hominidae
Source: RNAcentral